AGGAAUAUUGGUCAAUGGGCGAGAGCCUGAACCAGCCAAGUAGCGUGAAGGAUGACUGCCCUAUGGGUUGUAAACUUCUUUUAUAAAGGAAUAAAGUCGGGUAUGGAUACCCGUUUGCAUGUACUUUAUGAAUAAGGAUCGGCUAACUCCGUGCCAGCAGCCGCGGUAAUACGGAGGAUCCGAGCGUUAUCCGGAUUUAUUGGGUUUAAAGGGAGCGUAGAUGGGUUGUUAAGUCAGUUGUGAAAGUUUGCGGCUCAACCGUAAAAUUGCAAUUGAUACUGGCAGUCUUGAGUACAGUUGAGGUAGGCGGAAUUCGUGGUGUAGCGGUGAAAUGCUUAGAUAUCACGAAGAACUCCGAUUGCGAAGGCAGCUUACUAACCUGUAACUGACAUUGAUGCUCGAAAGUGUGGGUAUCAAACAGGAUUAGAUACCCUGGUAGUCCACACGGUAAACGAUGAAUACUCGCUGUAGGCGAUAUACAGUCUGCGGGCCAAGCGAAAGGCAUUAAGUAUUCCACCUGGGGAGUACGCCGGCAACGGUGAAACUCAAAGGAAUUGACGGGGGCCCGCACAAGCGGAGGAACAUGUGGUUUAAUUCGAUGAUACGCGAGGAACCUUACCCGGGCUUAAAUUGCAACCGAAUAUGGCGGAAACGCCAUAGCUAACAAUAGCGGUUGUGAAGGUGCUGCAUGGUUGUCGUCAGCUCGUGCCGUGAGGUGUCGGCUUAAGUGCCAUAACGAGCGCAACCCUUGCCGAUAGUUACUAACAGGUUAUGCUGAGGACUCUGUCGGGACUGCCAUCGUAAGAUGUGAGGAAGGUGGGGAUGACGUCAAAUCAGCACGGCCCUUACGUCCGGGGCUACACACGUGUUACAAUGGGGGGUACAGAGGGCUGCUACCACGCAAGUGGAUGCCAAUCCCAAAAACCUCUCUCAGUUCGGAUUGAAGUCUGCAACCCGACUUCAUGAAGCUGGAUUCGCUAGUAAUCGCGCAUCAGCCACGGCGCGGUGAAUACGUUCCCG
RNAcentral lists this ribosomal RNA (1020 nucleotides) under uncultured bacterium. Its description in RNAcentral is "bacterial SSU rRNA". It matches the Rfam family "Bacterial small subunit ribosomal RNA", at positions 357 to 1376 of the family's 1533-position model. The record is from RNAcentral.